GAUGAACGCUGGCGGCGCGCCUAACACAUGCAAGUCGAACGGCACCCCUCCUCGGAGGGAAGCGAGUGGCGAACGGCUGAGUAACACGUGGAGAACCUGCCCCCUCCCCCGGGAUAGCCGCCCGAAAGGACGGGUAAUACCGGAUACCCCGGGGUGCCGCAUGGCACCCCGGCUAAAGCCCCGACGGGAGGGGAUGGCUCCGCGGCCCAUCAGGUAGACGGCGGGGUGACGGCCCACCGUGCCGACAACGGGUAGCCGGGUUGAGAGACCGACCGGCCAGAUUGGGACGGAGACACGGCCCAGACUCCUACGGGAGGCAGCAGUGGGGAAUCUUGCGCAAUGGGGGGAACCCUGACGCAGCGACGCCGCGUGCGGGACGGAGGCCUUCGGGUCGUAAACCGCUUUCAGCAGGGAAGAGUCAAGACUGUACCUGCAGAAGAAGCCCCGGCUAACUACGUG
Molecule: ribosomal RNA, 459 nt
Filed under: uncultured bacterium
Lineage: Bacteria
Description: partial 16S ribosomal RNA
Rfam family: Bacterial small subunit ribosomal RNA
Source: RNAcentral